UUGGCAAGAGACUGUGAAAUUACAAAUGUACCGAGUUCAGCAUUUUGAUUUUGUUGUUCAGUCAGGCAAGACAAGAUGACGGGCAGGGUGAGAGAAGAUUCCUGAUCCAACUCACAGGUCCCAAACUUCCAGUCCUGUAGAUACUCUGCACCCAAACCUGCUUCCACUGUCAUCAAAGGGAGCCGUGUGGGGUCCGGAGUGAGGAACUGCCCUUGAGAGAGGACGCAGAGCAGUGGAAUAGCGAGUGUGGCUGCCCUUACACUGUUACUGGAUCUCUGGACUGUACUGGAGGGGACGGCUCCCAACAGGCUGGCCACCUGAUAGAACGCGUGGAGGAGAGUCAGUGGCCGUGGUGCUGUGCCGAAGGAACACAGAGUUUGCAGUGCUCAUUACCUAACCUUGUGUGCUGAGCUGCAAACUCAGCUGAUGGGAGGAAUCCACUUGCAUGACUCAUCUUCAUGGAGGGAGGGUAGAACAGCCAACGCAUUUUGUCAUCUUUAACAUCCCACAAUAGUCUCUCAGUUGUCAAUGGACCUUUCCUGUUGGGCAAGAUGUGACGGCUA
Molecule: long non-coding RNA, 563 nt
Filed under: Chrysemys picta bellii (western painted turtle)
Lineage: Eukaryota; Metazoa; Chordata; Testudines; Emydidae
Description: lncRNA (ENSCPBG00000014154.1)
Source: RNAcentral